AGAGUUUGAUCAUGGCUCAGGAUGAACGCUAGCGGCAGGCUUAACACAUGCAAGUCGAGGGGCAACGAGAGUAGCAAUACUUGUCGGCGACCGGCAGACGGGUGAGUAACGCGUACGCAACAUACCUUUAACAGGAGGAUAGCCCGAAGAAAUUCGGAUUAAUACUCCAUAAGACUACGAGAUGGCAUCUGAACGUAGUAAAAGCUGAGGCGGUUAAAGAUUGGCAUGCGUGAUAUUAGAUAGUUGGGGAGGUAACGGCUCACCAAGUCAAUGAUAUCUAUGGGGUCUGAAAGGAUGAACCCACACACUGGUACUGAGACACGGACCAGACUCCUACGGGAGGCAGCAGUGAGGAAUAUUGGUCAAUGGCCGCGAGGCUGAACCAGCCAUGCCGCGUGAAGGACGACGGCCCUAUGGGUUGUAAACUUCUUUUCUACGGGGGUAACCUCUCGAACGAGUUCGGGACUGAAAGUACUGUAGGAAUAAGCAUCGGCUAACUCCGUGCCAGCAGCCGCGGUAAUACGGAGGAUGCGAGCGUUAUCCGGAUUUACUAGGUUUAAAGGGUGCGUAGGUGGCUUUAUAAGUCAGUGGUGAAAUUUCAUGGCUCAACUGUGAAACUGCCAUUGAUACUGUAGGGCUUGAGUGGAGUUGAGGCAGGCGGAAUGUGUAAUGUAGCGGUGAAAUGCAUAGAUAUUACACAGAACACCGAUUGCGAAGGCAGCUUGCUAAACUCAGACUGACACUGAUGCACGAAAGCGUGGGGAUCAAACAGGAUUAGAUACCCUGGUAGUCCACGCUGUAAACGAUGAUUACUGGCUGUGUGCGAUAUACCGUACGCGGCUGAGCGAAAGCAUUAAGUAAUCCACCUGGGGAGUACGGCGGCAACGCUGAAACUCAAAUGAAUUGACGG
This 910-nucleotide ribosomal RNA is filed under the name uncultured bacterium. Its description in RNAcentral is "bacterial SSU rRNA". It matches the Rfam family "Bacterial small subunit ribosomal RNA", at positions 8 to 916 of the family's 1533-position model. The record is from RNAcentral.